GACGAACGCUGGCGGCGUGCUUAACACAUGCAAGUCGAACGGUAAGGCCCCUUCGGGGGUACACGAGUGGCGAACGGGUGAGUAACACGUGGGUAAUCUGCCCUGCACUUCGGGAUAAGCCUGGGAAACUGGGUCUAAUACCGGAUAUGAACUCCUGCCGCAUGGUGGGGGUUGGAAAGUUUUUCGGUGCAGGAUGAGCCCGCGGCCUAUCAGCUUGUUGGUGGGGUAAUGGCCUACCAAGGCGACGACGGGUAGCCGGCCUGAGAGGGUGAUCGGCCACACUGGGACUGAGACACGGCCCAGACUCCUACGGGAGGCAGCAGUGGGGAAUAUUGCACAAUGGGCGAAAGCCUGAUGCAGCGACGCCGCGUGGGGGAUGACGGUCUUCGGAUUGUAAACCCCUUUCAGUAGGGACGAAGCGCAAGUGACGGUACCUGCAGAAGAAGCACCGGCUAACUACGUGCCAGCAGCCGCGGUAAUACGUAGGGUGCGAGCGUUGUCCGGAAUUACUGGGCGUAAAGAGCUCGUAGGCGGUUUG
This 538-nucleotide ribosomal RNA is filed under the name Dietzia sp. RNAcentral's name for it is "bacterial SSU rRNA". It matches the Rfam family "Bacterial small subunit ribosomal RNA", at positions 28 to 582 of the family's 1533-position model. The record is from RNAcentral. Lineage: Bacteria; Bacillati; Actinomycetota; Actinomycetes; Mycobacteriales; Dietziaceae.